Molecule: ribosomal RNA, 301 nt
Filed under: uncultured bacterium
Lineage: Bacteria
Description: partial 16S ribosomal RNA
Rfam family: Bacterial small subunit ribosomal RNA
Source: RNAcentral
CAGCAGCCGCGGGAAUACGAAGGGUGCAAGCGUUAAUCGGAAUUAUUGGGCGUAAAGCGUGCGUAGGCGGUGAGUUAAGUCUGCUGUGAAAUCCCCGGGCUCAACCUGGGAAUGGCAGUGGAUACUGGCUCGCUAGAGUGUGUCAGAGGAUGGUGGAAUUCCCGGUGUAGCGGUGAAAUGCGUAGAGAUCGGGAGGAACAUCAGUGGCGAAGGCGGCCAUCUGGGACAACACUGACGCUGAGGCACGAAAGCGUGGGGAGCAAACAGGAUUAGAGACCCCCGUAGUCCCUGUCUCUUAUAA